ACUCACUCUGGUCCCUCCCUCCCUUUCUUCUCCUCGAUGUCCAUUGUCCCGCACACCAUUCUGCGCCCGUUCGGCGUGAACCCGUGCGGCGGCGGCGGCGGCUAUCUGAGGCGGCACGCACGGACGUGCCUCCGCCGUGCGAGCCCCGUCGGUGCAACGAACGGGAAUGAGCCGGGCGGUAGCAAGAAGAGGAGUAGGAAGAGGCCGGCGGAGGAGUCGCGGUUGGAGGUCCUUUAUGAUGACGGGUUCGGGAGCGUCACCAUGAAGGAUUACCGGGAGGCGGUGAGGGCCAUGCCCAGGGACGACGGCGGGCCGCCGCGGUGGUUCUGCCCCGUGGAGUGCGGCCGGCCGGAGGUCGACAGGGCGCCGCUGCUGCUCUUCUUGCCAGGAGUCGAUGGUGUUGGAAUGGAGCUCAUUCUGCACCACAAAUCACUGGGCAAAGUAUUUGAGGUUUGCUGCUUUCAUAUACCAGUAAAUGCCCGCACACCAUUUGAAGGUUUAUUACAAAUUGUGGAAGAAUAUGUCAAACAUGAGAAUGCUUUGUCGCCAAGCAGACCAAUAUAUAUAAUUGGGGAUUCUUUUGGUGGAUGUCUUGCAAUUUCAGUGGCAGCUCGCAAUCCAGAAAUCGACUUGGUUCUUACACUAGUAAAUCCAGCAACAUCAUCUGCAAAAGCUUCGUUGCAGGCAGUAUUGCCUCUUUUGGAAGCAGUGGCGAGCAACCUUCCAUUUAUACAUCCUCACCUUCUCAAAUAUUCAAUGGAAGCAUGCAAGGCGGCGCACGCAGCAAGCAUUUCAUGAGCAAAACAGAUAUGGGGCACCACCUGGUUGGGUAACACCAGAAAUACCGCCUGGAUAUUUCAACAGUACAUGCAGAUUUGAAGAUACACCGCAAUCAUUAGAAGCACGGACAGGUCCUUCUAUACAGCAAACAACAAUGUCUGGGAAUGCAAGCUUUGCCGCUACUGGGUUGCAACUAGGCCAACAAUAUCACCAACAACAAAUGUUUUCCUUCCCCAGCGCAUAAGAAGGCUUCCACCAGUCGCUCUGUCAACAUCAAUCAUCCGUGCUGCAAAAGCAGUUGUGACGGGAAGACCAGGGCAAAAGACAGAAAUUUUGGCCACUCUAGCAGGUUCAAAAGUACAAGAUAUGAGCCAUAUAGACAGGAGCAACAUCAUAAUGAAUCUGAGGAGAGACGUCCGUACAACGAGAGACGGAGAUCUUCGUCAUUGUUGCUCCCUCCAAGAGAUGCAUUGCUACAUGUGCCAAGGGUGACACCACCGGCGCCCAUAAACCAGGGAGAACAACAAACACCAGAGGCAGCCCAGAGCUAUACACAUCCACCUGACAUUGAAGCUUAUGUUCUGCCAAGGCUAGAGAUGAGGUUUGAAACUUUCGAAGAAACUAAGAACUUCUACAACGUAUAUGCAAAGCACGCUGGUUUUGCUGUCAGGGAAGGCCCCAAGUUUAAGACCAGAGCCUACCUUUAUUGCACGUGCCAUGGAGUUUAUGAAUCAAAGGUGUCUGAAACAAAUAGACAGCGGAACAAAACGACAGCCAGGACUGACUACAGGGCUAAAAUGAGGCUGAAGAUUGAAAAGGAUGGAACACUUGUCGUAAAAGAGAUAGUCUGGGAACACAACCACAGGCUACAGCUCACUCCACAAAUGCUUGUCUUCUUGCACUCCCACAAAAAUUUUGACAAAACAAUCUUGGAGUACGUCAAGUACCUGCAGUUCAAAGGCAUUGAACACGCGCAAAUCAUGAGCAUUCUGGGCGGUGAUGACCCUGGUAGCUACUUCCUCGAAAUGAAUGCCAAAGACCUGAUUAACAUGAAAGCAAAGAAUUCAAGGAUUGAUGAUGUGGAUGAUGUCCUAAAGACUGUCAACUUCUUUAGGGAGAUGAAAGCUAUAAACAGGGAAUUCUUCUGUGACAUGCAACUCGAUGAGUCCGACAGAGUUAAGAACAUAUUCUGGGCGAACGCAAGCUGCCGAGGCGCAUAUCAGGACUUCGGUGACUGCGUAACAUUUGACACCACGUACAAGACCAACAAGUACCAUAUGCCACUUGGGGUGUUUGUCGGUACUAACAACCACUUACAGACUACAUUCUUUGGUUUCGCCCUGAUAAGAGAUGAGGAUGCAGAAUCAUUCAGAUGGUUGUUCAAGACGUUUUUAAGGUGCAUGAGAGGGAAGGCUCCUACAUGCAUCCUCACAGUGCCAGGCAAUGGCUUUGGCGAUCGCAGAUGUUUUCAAGAACACAAUACAUAAGCUAUACCGCUGGCACAUUACGAAGAAGUACAGGGAACACCUCGCGUACCUAUAUUUCCUGCACGAGGACCUUAAGGAUGAAUUCACAUCAAUUCUCAACUGGCCCCUCAUGCCAACUGAGUUUGAGGAUGCCUGGAAAAGACUCAUGGAUAAGUACAACCUCCAUGAUGAUGCCACAAUGGUGGGCAUGUGGAACGAGCAUGAGAAAUGGAUAUCAGCCUACUUCAAAGAAAUUUUCUGCGCCAAAAUGACAUCCACACAGCGAAGUGAGAGCAUGAACUAUGUGCUCAAGAAGAACUACGUAAAUGAGAGACAUAACCUACACCGAUUUGUCAGCCAGAUAAACUCCUGCGUCAAAAGCAGGAGGCAGACAGAGAACCAGGAGACAAUGGGUAACCGGACGGAACAAAACACGCUGACCUUCUAUGGGUUUGACACCCAGAUGGCAAAGCUGUACACGCGAGUUGUGUACAGCGAGAUCAGAGAUAGGCUAAAACUGAGCACUCUCUUCACGGCGAUAGAGACGGAAGAGCCCACAAAGUACCUAGUGCGCUACAACCACCCGCAAAAACUGUCUGUGUAGGCUCAGCACGCGUUCCAGGUGGUUGCAGACCCCGUGGGAGAAACAUAUGAGUGCGAGUGCAGGCUAUGGGACCACACAGACAAUUAAGGCUCAAAGCGUUCCAGAGAAAUACAUACUCAAGAGAUACACCAAACGACCGAAUAUCCAGCCAACAUUUGACAGAAAUGACUUGAGGACAGUAGCGUCAAACAAGGCAUCCCAAUACUGCAUUGAAAUCUCACUGCUGACGCUGAACAUGAGGGUGCACAGAAAAAGCUUGAGAAGCCAAGAGCAAAUGGCAAGGACGCGGGUCGUCAUGGACAAACUUGAACAAGAACUCGACGCCAUGCAUUCUGCUGACAAUGGGGGUGUCGCGGACAAUGAAGCCAUUGAGCAGGAUAUUGCUACAAUGUUGUCCGAGAUGAACCAUAUGGGAGCUAUUGACCCGUUUGAGAACGAGGAAGAGGAGCAGCAGCAACCGGAGCUUGCCCGUGUGGACACUCAAGAGCAACGACAAACUCACAUGCAAGAUCAUGAGCUUGAUGGUGCUGUAGGCGAACGACAUGACAAUAGCACAUCCUACAAGCAGCAUCAGGAAAGGGUGAUUAAACCCCCAAUAUUCUCAAACACAAAGGGGAGGAAGAGCAAGACGCAAGCAACAGCCAAAAAGCCACCACGCCCCAUCAAGCGCGUGGAAUUUGGCCCGGACGGCAAACCCCUCGGGGUAAGGGCAUGCGGAUUCUGCAAUGUCGUGAGCAACCAUAACUACCGCACAUGCCCACUCCGCACAGAUGCCACUGUCAACAAGAACAAGCAGAUUGGAGCCACCCAGCUUUCUACCAAUGGAGACAACACACGUAACAGCUACACUUGCCGCAAGUGUGGCGGAACUGACGGACAUAAUGCCCGCACGUGCAAAGUGGGCAAGGAGGUCAGUGGAGCUGAACAUAAACAGGGCAAGGUACAGAGUUCCAAGCAAUCAAAUGAAGACGAUGAAGAAGAAGAGUUUGAUGAGAAUGACGGCCAAUCAGACGAAGACAAUGAACAUGACAGUGUCGGGGGCGAGGAAACUGAAACUGACGAUGAAGCUGCCAAGGCUCAACCUGGAAAGAGCGUCGGCAAGGCACAACAUUCGGGGACAGUUAGGAGAAGCUCAAGACUGAACAAUACAUAGUGGUUAUCCUGCUGCGUCAACUAAAAAAUAACCGUGUAGUCUCAAUUGAAUCAGCACACAAUGAGGAAGCAUUUCACAAAAACACUGUCAUUUACCAAAACUUAUUUAGCUUUAUCGUCAAUUUCUCGAUCAGAACUAAAGUUAUUUUUAGUUUGUGAUUCGUGACCACUGGAGCAGUGAUAUUGUUAUGUAAACCAUUUGAUAAUCAUUUUGAAUGCAGUCACAAAAUACGUUUGAAAAAACUUAUCUGGAUAUAUCCGACGCAAAAGGCUACUAUGAACCAGUAACUCAGGAAAAAAAUAUGUCAAGGAAAAUUUUAAACUCUUGUAGCAUAUUAGUACUGAUAACUAUCAGUCGUCAGUACAAGGCAGAGUACACAUCAGUACUGAUAUAAUUUCUAAUUUGUGCCCGCUGAAGCAGUGACAUUAUUAUUUAAACCAUUUGAUAAUCCUUUUGAAUGCAGUCAAAAAUAAAAUUGAAAAAACUUAUCCUCAUAUAUCUGACGCAAAACUAUGCCUGCUCCUACAAGUCCCAAUUCAGAAAGACCAUCAGUACAUAAAAAUAAUUACAUCAAGCAAAAUGCGAAUAUAAUACAUCCUGUACUGGUGAAAAUCUAAUUUAUCUGUAAAAAAUACUCACAUGUUAUCUUGAUAUAAACAAUCCUUUAAAAAAAUAUGAAAAUUGUUUAAAAAACAUUAGCACCACACAUAGUAUCGCUGGUAUUUGGUACGUUCAAUUACACUUCAAUCACCAGUCCGAGUACGACACUAGAGGAGUUCAGACCUCCACCAACACCGACGCUGACACGUGCAAGUAGGAUAAGCAGCUGAUAAGUACAGCUUGACUAUACGAAUCGGUGCCACAGUAAAAUGCCAUCAUCACCACCGCAGAGACGUGCAAGUGGGGUUUUGCAGGUCAUAAGUACAGCUACACAAGACUAGCCAGUUCAACAGUAAAAACCAUUUAACUUGGACGGUUAGUUCUUCCAGGCCACCACCCGCGCCACCCACUGCGCGGUUGCCAUGACGAAGUGCAAACGACGACCCCCACGACCACUACACACAAGCCCCCCGACGAACCGCCUCCCACACACCACCGUCGGCGCACUGAAAAAAAUACCCCAUUGUCUUCCAUCUCUCCCUCGUUUCCACAAACCACCAUUGCCGCUUCCAUUUCCACUGCACACAAACCUCCAGCGUCUCUCUCCAAAGCCCACAAGUCGCCGGAGGAAGGCCAUGGCGGAGGAACCGUCCGCCAAGCGUCAUCAUGCCGAGACGUCGGACAAGAGGAGCAACCUCGUCGACAUUAACGUCCUCGGCGAGAAGCGUGACUACACCAGAACGCUCAAAGGGGUUGAGCUCCACGGCAAGGAGACGCUGGAGAUCGUCUGCACCAGCGAACCAGACAAGGCCGAUGAGGUGAUCUCCAGGCUCUGGAGGAAGCUUGGCGGCAGGAUUCGUAGGAUCAUCGGCGUUGGUGUGCACUACACCAACGAAGAUGAACCUCCCCAGAUGGCGGCAGUCCUGCAGUUGUGCGUCGACGAACUCUGCUUGGUGUACCACAUCGCAACGGCCACAAAAUGGCCCAAGCGCCUGACGGACAUGCUGCAGCAUGACAAGUUGUCCACAUUUGCCGGUUUCAGCAUUGAAAGCGACAAACAGAAGCUGAAGUUGUCCGGUAUGGAGAUCAACUCCAACAAGUUCAUCGACAUUCAGCGCAAGUGGAGAGUUCCAUACACCGGAAAAGAGUACGACUCCUUGGCUGAUGUUGCAGCCAGUGUCAUCCACCCAUUCUACAAAGGCAUGAAGAACAAGAUCAACACGCAGGAAGACUACAAACUGUGGGGGACAAGCGAGCUGCCAGACAACCUCAUCGAGUACGCAGGAGUAGAUGCGUACGCCGCGUAUAAGUCAUGGUUCAUGAUCGACUACAUCACAGAUGGUUCGGAAUUUGCGAAAGAGCGGGAGGCUAACAACUUCUACGACCACCCCUAUUGCCCCUUUACGGGAUGAAGAUACAUCAGAGCCUGCCUUCGUUUUACUUCCGCUUGUGCUUGCCUUUUAUCUUGUUGUUUCAAAUUAGUAGUUUGCUCUUGUUGGGUUGAACCAGUAUGAUUAUGUCGUGCUUGUCAUGUUUGAACAAGUU
RNAcentral lists this ribosomal RNA (6148 nucleotides) under Triticum aestivum (bread wheat). RNAcentral describes it as "partial small subunit ribosomal RNA". Lineage: Eukaryota; Viridiplantae; Streptophyta; Magnoliopsida; Poales; Poaceae. The record is from RNAcentral.